UCCAAUAUGGCAGAAAAUUGCAUUAAGUUUAAGACUUAAUUAUUCUCUACCUCAAUUCAUU
This 61-nucleotide transfer RNA is filed under the name Cyriopagopus hainanus. RNAcentral's name for it is "tRNA-Leu". Lineage: Eukaryota; Metazoa; Arthropoda; Arachnida; Araneae; Theraphosidae. The record is from RNAcentral.